AAUCUGCGCUUGCAGGAGGAGUUGGACAGGGCUGACACGGAGCUGCGGGAGGAGGAAGAAAAGCAUCUUCAGUCUGAGCACUGCGUUCGUGACUUGAAGACUGCCUUGGAUGAUAAAGAAAGAGAAGCAAUAACUUCUUCCCCAAAACUGCAGGACCUCCUGUUGCCAUCUUCCGAGACUAAUACCACUCUAAAACAACUGGAAGAACACGUGCAACAGUAAGAGAGUAACCCAGUGAAGCGAGGUGUCUGUCGCUUUGGGGGAUUGGGUGGAAACAACGGGACAGUCAGUUGGAUUUUGAAGGACACUUCUGCUGUGGAUUCUGUUACUUAGCACAGUUUGUCUGGAACUGGAUUUUCUGGUAAUAAGACCCAUAUUUGUUUUUAAGCCUUGAAAUUCAAAAGACCCGAGUGGAAGCCACUGUCCAGCAACAAAGCCAUAGGAUUGAAGCCCUUCAGAGAGACCUGCAAGCCUCUGCCUCAGUUGGUGAACUUUCCCAGCAGCUGGACAUGGAGCCUAAAACAGGCAUGCAGCUAGAGGACCAAAACCAGACUUUGCAAGAAGAGCUGUCCACUCUGCGUGGGAAGUAUGAAAAACUGGAGAAGAGCAAAUGCCAGCUGCAAGAAGAAGUGACAAAAGUCCAUCAUCAUUUGGAGACUUUCGUGCUGGAUGGCAGCCAAACAGCACAAUGUAAAAGAGAGGCGGAAGAACGAGCUGACCAGGAAAUAAGU
Molecule: long non-coding RNA, 731 nt
Organism: Pseudopipra pipra
Lineage: Eukaryota; Metazoa; Chordata; Aves; Passeriformes; Pipridae
Exons: 3
Source: RefSeq, a predicted model, not a curated record